UACGUAGGGCGCAAGCGUUGUCCGGAAUUAUUGGGCGUAAAGAGCUCGUAGGUGGCUUGUCACGUCGGGUGUGAAAGCUUGGGGCUUAACUCCAGGUCUGCAUUCGAUACGGGCUGGCUAGAGGUAGGUAGGGGAGAACGGAAUUCCUGGUGUAGCGGUGAAAUGCGCAGAUAUCAGGAGGAACACCGGUGGCGAAGGCGGUUCUCUGGGCCUUACCUGACGCUGAGGUGCGAAAGCGUGGGGAGCAAACAGG
RNAcentral lists this ribosomal RNA (253 nucleotides) under uncultured bacterium. Its description in RNAcentral is "partial 16S ribosomal RNA". It matches the Rfam family "Bacterial small subunit ribosomal RNA", at positions 524 to 776 of the family's 1533-position model. The record is from RNAcentral.